GAAGGAACUCCCAUGGGCAAACAAGGCCUGGGGACCCUCUCACUUUGUAGCUACGCCCAGGUCCUGCACGGUGUCAUGACCCCAGAAUUAGUGUUUGACAGCUUCUCAGGAACAGCUGCUAUAUCCUACCUGCAGCUUGACGCCUGUUCAGAUGGAAGCAACUCUCUGCAGGCUGCGUCAGGACCUCUUUUCCCAGCUUUACUCCUCCGUCUGGGUUCUUGCACUCACAGGGGAUGGGAGAGGGGUGAGAAAUAGAGCGUUUUUUGAGAACAUAUUCCAACCUCUCGGAUGCACACGUUUUGGAGUCCUGUCCUCAUGUCAAUUGACAGAGAAGAUCCCCCGGCUCCAUUGGCCAGGGCGAAGGUGUGCCUAAGCCCCAGGUCGAAACUCUGUCUCCCUGAGCCCUGACAACAGCAGCUCAGCCCGGUCCAUUAACGUGGCUUUAGGACAAGGUUCCCGCUCAGCUCGAGGAGUCAGACUGGCCCUGAGCUAACAUCCGUGUCCAUCUUCCUCUACUUUAUACGUGGGAUGCCUACCACAGCACGGAAUUUGCCAAGCGGUGCCAUGUCUGCACCCAGGAUCCAAACCAGUGAAACCACCGCCUAGAAGCAGAAUGUGCUCACCUAACUGCUGAGCCACCAGGUCACCCCGGCUGGAACUUCUGAUGAGAUUAACAAGGAGGCGACAGCUCUGCCUGCCAAUGGCUGGUCGCUGCAUUCCUCUCUCUUUCUGUUGAAUGCUUUCAUUUCUCUCUUGGAUCCUCUUUCCUCUCUCUGCAGCUGGAGUGAUAAGAGAGACUUGGGGUGCCCAUUUGCUCGGGAGGACACCCGGCCUGGUGGAGACCGAAGGGUGGGAAGCUAAGCCAGCUCUGCUUGGCUCCUCUAGAGAAAAGCCUUCCUUGGGUUUGUCCUCCUGCCUCCCUGGUCACAGACUGGGUGAGACGGAAGGCCGGGGUCAGGGGCAGGCCUCGUGGGAAGGAACGCGGCCUGCUCUGGUUCUAGGCCUCGUGCCAUGAGUACAAACGGAGGCCUUGACCACACAUGGUUGAGCCCAGCUAAGGGGCUAACGGGUCUGAGGUCUUGCAGUCAGAAACCUGACGUUUGCAGGGAAGGUCCCUCCCCUCGCUCCCUCAUGAUUCUCUGAUGUAGCUCUCGCAUGGAGCUAAAUCCAAGAUUUCCAGAACUUUGUGACUUUUCUUAAUUCAAUGAAAUCCAGUGAGGACUUGAUGAGCCUAACAUGGGCAAGGCACUGUUCAAUCAGAAACAAAUUUUCAUUACAGCUUAUAAAGAAGCAAAUUUAUUUUGACUUGUUUAUACCAAUUAUUCAUUCAUUAACAUUGCAUACGUUCUGCUUUUCUGCUUAAAAUUAGUCUCAGUCCUUUAAAAAGCAAAAGCUUUAUUUUAGAAGUUGACUGAGACAAGCAGAGGCAGGCACCAUGCAUCGAAACCAGCCAGCUACAUCGAAGGGGAGGCAAAAGGCAUUGACUAGAACUGCUGGACACAGUUGGUUCCAUCUCUGGCCUUCCUGGCCCCCUCGCAAGGCCCUGCCCCCUGUUUCCUGUGAGUCAAGGUAAUGGCUGGUGGUGUGCGCACAGCAUGCUGCCCCUGGAGGUGACGGAUCCUGUUACGCUUUCUUACUCCUCUGCAGUCUGGUCUCCAGGGACCCGUCUUCUAUUUACACUGUACACUUUGAAACACUUGUUCUAUUGCCAAGAGUUAAAAUAGUCGCUACACUCUCAACCUUUCCCUCACUCCCCCCUCUACUUCCUGGCUUGAACUGAAGCAUGGAUUUCCCCGGAGGACUCUGUCCUUCACAGCCCCCUCAAGUGGAGACAGCAUCCUUGCACACGUGCCCUGUCUGACGGCCGGAGGUGGUUUCUUC
Molecule: long non-coding RNA, 1881 nt
Organism: Equus caballus (horse)
Lineage: Eukaryota; Metazoa; Chordata; Mammalia; Perissodactyla; Equidae
Source: Ensembl